UACGUAGGGGGCGAGCGUUGUCCGGAUUUAUUGGGCGUAAAGAGCGUGUAGGCGGCCCGGUAAGUCCGCCGUGAAAGUCCAGGGCUCAACCCUGGAAUGCCGGUGGAAACUGCCGGGCUGGAGUCCGGAAGAGGCGAGUGGAAUUCCUGGUGUAGCGGUGAAAUGCGCAGAUAUCAGGAGGAACACCAAUGGCGAAGGCAGCUCGCUGGGACGGUACUGACGCUGAGACGCGAAAGCGUGGGGAGCAAACAGG
RNAcentral lists this ribosomal RNA (253 nucleotides) under uncultured bacterium. RNAcentral's name for it is "partial 16S ribosomal RNA". It matches the Rfam family "Bacterial small subunit ribosomal RNA", at positions 524 to 776 of the family's 1533-position model. The record is from RNAcentral.